CAACAUUCUACUGAGACACAAAUGACAGAAACACCAAGAAUAAAACUGAGAGAAAAAGACAGUCCAUUUAUCUUCUCUGUCUAAUUUUAUCAUCAUCAUCUUCCAAUCAUCUUUGUCUUCCUAAAGGAUAUGCCGAGUUGUUCUUAUAUUGCACCUAAAGGAACAGCUGAUCGACUUGAUGAAUUAAAUUAACUUAAAGAUCGUAAAAUCCUUGAUUGUGGAGCAGGAACUGGACUCUUGACUACUAAUCAUUUGUCCAAUCUGAUGAAAAGUGGUAUCAUUUCAUGGGGAAUGACUAAUCAGAUCGUUAUGCAGAACGAGAUUCAACUUAUGCUGACAAAGGAUUUGACAAAAUCAUUGAAGGAUUAGUUUCGGAGGGAUUAGUUGAAAUUUCGCUGAUCAUAAAAAAAAUUUACCUCAUUAUCUUAAAGGAGAAGAUGAAUUUGUUUCCAAAAUGAUUAAAAGUUUUAAUCAAUCGCGAUACAACAAUUAACGUAAUUGACUAUUUACUAUGACAUUUGUAUACACUACAUGUGUGUAAAUUUGUUUGUAAAUAAAUGACAAAUGAUUAGUCUUACUAAUGAAAGUAAUGAUAAACAAUUUUAUGAAUCAAAUUUAAUUACAAUUAAAUCAACAAGGAAAAUCAUGCGAUCAACAUGAUCGCUUUUCUGAGUAAAUCCAAGAAAUCCACUUCAUAAAUGUCAACUUUUCUGUCUUUUUUGAUCAAAAAAGUACAACAGAGCAAUUAAAUCUUUGAUUAACCUCUCGAAGUUUCAACAUCCCGGUUGAUACAAUUAAAAAACUUACAUUCAUCUAAUGCUCUUUUUCUUAAUUGUUAGUGAAGUGAUGAAAUGAUAAGAAAAUUUUCUUCUCUUCAAUAGCGAAACAUAUGAGAAUCAGGUGAUCGAUGUUUACACUUUUCUCUCUCACAAAGUUACUCUCACUUUGUCUCUCUCCCUCUUACUAUUUACUCGGUGAUUUGAAUGUUUCUUCAAGAACAAUGGAAAACACAAUUAAAGAUGUGAUUGUGAAAAAAGCCGAACCCAAUAGACCCGGAUGUAAGAAGUGCGGUUUCUUUGGUCACUUUACUUACCAAUGUCGGAAUAAUUUCACCACCAAGUCCAGAUUAGAAUUGGCCUUAGACGGACCAGUACAAGCGAUGAAGAAUCUGAUCUGGAUGAAAUCGGUUUACCUUCAGGUUCCAACAGUUUGUUACCUGGUGAUGGGAGGAAAACAUUACCAUUCACUCAUAACCAUCGAUCAACUCAUUCGGACUCGGAAGAUGAUGAUGGUGAUAGGAAACAUGGAAGAUCUCGUUCAGUAAAGAGGAAGAAAAGUAAAUCUCGUGAACGAAGUAGAAGUUCACAUAAAAAAGGAAAAAAACACAAAAAGAAAAGGUCACAUUCGAGUAAACAUCGCGAUUCCAGUUCUCAUAGACACCGAAGAAAAGAAAAGAAAAAAUCAUCUUCCAGUUCAGAUUCAGAAACAGAUUCAAGUUCAUCAUCUACUGAUGACCAACGGCGAUCUCGUAAACAUCAUCACCAUAAUCGGGAAGGUAAAGACCGGAAAAGUAAACGAUCAAAGGACAAUCGUCAUGAACGGAAACACCAUAAAGAUAAACAUCGCCGAUCAAAAAGUCGCUAAUGAACAAUUAGCUUAAUUGUUCAUCAUCUAAAAUCACCAUGGCUUUAAUUGAUUUUCACCAAACUCAAUUGAUAACAUAUGGUGAAUUGAGAUUCAUUUGAUAUGUUUAAUUUUUCAUUUUACUGGCAAUUAGUUGAUCUCUUAAAUUACAUUGAUUAUUUUUCCAACAAAUUAUUAUUACGAUUUCUCAUAAUAACAAAUGUAAAUUGUCAUUUAGUUGACAAAGUGAGAGAGAGAGAAAAAAAUUAAUCAAUAAUAAUAAUUUUCACUUUGUUAA
Molecule: long non-coding RNA, 1921 nt
Organism: Panonychus citri (citrus red mite)
Lineage: Eukaryota; Metazoa; Arthropoda; Arachnida; Trombidiformes; Tetranychidae
Exons: 5
Source: RefSeq, a predicted model, not a curated record